UACGUAGGGACCAAGCGUUGUUCGGAUUUACUGGGCGUAAAGGGCGCGUAGGCGGCUUGUCAAGUCACUUGUGAAAUCUCUGGGCUUAACCCAGAACGGCCAAGUGAAACUGACAUGCUAGAGUGCAGAAGGGGCAAUCGGAAUUCUUGGUGUAGCGGUGAAAUGCGCAGAUAUCAGGAGGAACACCGAUGGCGAAGGCAGGUCUCUGGGCAUUAACUGACGCUGAGGAGCGAAAGCAUGGGGAGCGAACAGG
This 253-nucleotide ribosomal RNA is filed under the name uncultured bacterium. RNAcentral's name for it is "partial 16S ribosomal RNA". It matches the Rfam family "Bacterial small subunit ribosomal RNA", at positions 524 to 776 of the family's 1533-position model. The record is from RNAcentral.